RNAcentral lists this ribosomal RNA (434 nucleotides) under uncultured bacterium. Its description in RNAcentral is "partial 16S ribosomal RNA". It matches the Rfam family "Bacterial small subunit ribosomal RNA", at positions 355 to 780 of the family's 1533-position model. The record is from RNAcentral.
UGGGGAAUUUUGGACAAUGGGCGAAAGCCUGAUCCAGCAAUGUCACGUGUGUNAAGAAGGCCUUCGGGUUGUAAAGCACUUUUGUCCGGAAAGAAAUCCUUGGCUCUAAUACAGUCGGGGGAUGACGGUACCGGAAGAAUAAGCACCGGCUAACUACGUGCCAGCAGCCGCGGUAAUACGUAGGGUGCAAGCGUUAAUCGGAAUUACUGGGCGUAAAAGCGUGCGCAGGCGGUUUGCUAAGACCGAUGUGAAAUCCCCGGGCUCAACCUGGGAACUGCAUUGGUGACUGGCAGGCUAGAGUAUGGCAGAGGGGGGUAGAAUUCCACGUGUAGCAGUGAAAUGCGUAGAGAUGUGGAGGAAUACCGAUGGCGAAGCAGCCCCCUGGGCCAAUACUGACGCUCAUGCACGAAAGCGUGGGGAGCAAAACAGGAUUA